This 301-nucleotide ribosomal RNA is filed under the name uncultured bacterium. RNAcentral describes it as "partial 16S ribosomal RNA". It matches the Rfam family "Bacterial small subunit ribosomal RNA", at positions 509 to 807 of the family's 1533-position model. The record is from RNAcentral.
CAGCAGCCGCGGGAAUACGAAGGGUGCAAGCGUUAAUCGGAAUUACUGGGCGUAAAGCGUGCGUAGGCGGUUUGUUAAGUCUGUUGUGAAAUCCCCGGGCUCAACCUGGGAAUGGCAAUGGAUACUGGCAAGCUAGAGUGUGGUAGAGGAUGGUGGAAUUCCCGGUGUAGCGGUGAAAUGCGUAGAGAUCGGGAGGAACAUCAGUGGCGAAGGCGGCCAUCUGGGGCAACACUGACGCUGAGGCACGAAAGCGUGGGGAGCAAACAGGAUUAGAUACCCCUGUAGUCCCUGUCUCUUAUAC